GUGCCAGCCGCCGCGGUAAGACAGAGGCCUCGAGCGUUAGGCGGAAUCACUGGGCUUAAAGCGUGUGUAGGUGGAUUCUUAAGUGCUUUGUGAAAUCCCACGGCUUAACCGUGGAACUGCUUGGCAUACUGGGAAUCUUGAGCUAUCUAGGGGCAACUGGAACAGACGGUGGAGCGGUGAAAUGCGUAGAUAUCGUCUGGAACGCCAAUGGUGAAGACAGGUUGCUGGGGAUAUGCUGACACUGAGACACGAAAGCCAGGGGAGCAAACGGGAUUAGAAACCCCUGUAGUCC
RNAcentral lists this ribosomal RNA (292 nucleotides) under uncultured bacterium. Its description in RNAcentral is "partial 16S ribosomal RNA". It matches the Rfam family "Bacterial small subunit ribosomal RNA", at positions 505 to 796 of the family's 1533-position model. The record is from RNAcentral.